CAAUAGCGUAUAUUAAAGUUGUUGCAGUUAAAAAGCUCGUAGUUGAAUUUCGGGUCCCCGCGCUCGGCGCUUCAUUGUGCCGUCGUGGUGUCCCUCCUCGCCGUAAGGCGUCCUUUACUGUGAAAAAAUUAGAGUGUUCAAAGCAGGCAAUCGCUUGAAUACAUUAGCAUGGAAUAAUAAGAUAGGAUCUUGUCUAUUUUGUUGGUUGCGGACAACGAUAAUGAUUAAUAGGGAUAGUUGGGGGUGUCCGUAUUGAGCUGUCAGAGGUGAAAUUCUUGGAUUUGCUCAAGACGAACUACUGCGAAAGCAUUCACCAAGGAUGUUUUCAUUA
Molecule: ribosomal RNA, 331 nt
Filed under: uncultured eukaryote
Lineage: Eukaryota
Description: partial 18S ribosomal RNA
Rfam family: Eukaryotic small subunit ribosomal RNA
Source: RNAcentral